This is a non-coding RNA of Pelobates cultripes (western spadefoot toad), 262 nucleotides long. NCBI's taxonomy places the organism in Eukaryota, Metazoa, Chordata, Amphibia, Anura, Pelobatidae. The record is from the annotation of a GenBank genome assembly.
AAAGCUUUCAUAGCACAUAAGGGCAGAUCCAGAUGCGCUUCCCACCUAGAGCUCAUGCGCAAGAUACAAUAUCGAUGGUACCUGGUGCCAUCCAGAUUGGCUAGCAUCUACCCAGGCACUUCAAAGCUCUGUUGGAGAUGCUUAAAAGAAGAGGGCACGAUGAUCCACAUUUGGUGGACGUGUUCAGCUCUCAAAGAAUACUGGAGAAGAUUAGAGGAGAUGAUCAAUGGGGCGUUGCACAUUGCUAAGUCCAGAGAAAGCC